This is a long non-coding RNA of Patella vulgata (common limpet), 491 nucleotides long. RefSeq lists it as uncharacterized. The record is from RefSeq and is a predicted model, not a curated record. The transcript has 3 exons. Lineage: Eukaryota; Metazoa; Mollusca; Gastropoda; Patellidae.
AUGUUUUCUGAAUGAAUUGGGCAGAAUGAAAAUAAUAAGCCCGGAGACUAAAGUACAGGUACAAAUUACAGGUGGAGAUAGGGGCUUAACUUAAAUCCUGCGCUCUGCAGAAAUUCUAUGUGAACUUUGUGGCGGGAAUAUGGAAAAGAAAACGGAAAUGUCUUGGCAAGAACUCCUGGAGAGAACAGAAGACAUUGACAAAGAAGAUUCUGAUGAGAAGUCGAUGAAUUAACAUUACAUACAGAUUACAGAUCUACAAGAAACCAGACUGUUAUCGUGUACAGGAUAGUACAUUCAAGACCACAGAACAGGACAGUAAAUGCAGGAUGAAAAAACAAAAUAGUACAUUCAGGACCAAAGAACAGGACAGUAAAUACAGGACGAAAAAACAGGACCAAAGAAUGUGACAAUAAAAUUCGAAAAAAGGCUAGAAUAUUGUAACAAUUAAUUAAUUUUUCAGGGAGAAAGGUUUUUACAAGCCUGUUCUCCAA